This 762-nucleotide ribosomal RNA is filed under the name uncultured Peptostreptococcus sp. RNAcentral describes it as "bacterial SSU rRNA". It matches the Rfam family "Bacterial small subunit ribosomal RNA", at positions 28 to 775 of the family's 1533-position model. Lineage: Bacteria; Bacillati; Bacillota; Clostridia; Peptostreptococcales; Peptostreptococcaceae. The record is from RNAcentral.
GAUGAACGCUGGCGGCGUGCCUAACACAUGCAAGUCGAGCGAGGGUUUGCUCAGUAUUGAGUAUUCUAAGACUAGAAUGUUCAAUUCUGAGCAAAACCAAGCGGCGGACGGGUGAGUAACGCGUGGGUAACCUGCCCUAUACACAUGGAUAACAUACUGAAAAGUUUACUAAUACAUGAUAAUAUAUGUUUGCGGCAUCGCAGAUAUAUCAAAGUGUUAGCGGUAUAGGAUGGACCCGCGUCUGAUUAGCUAGUUGGUGAGAUAACUGCCCACCAAGGCGACGAUCAGUAGCCGACCUGAGAGGGUGAUCGGCCACAUUGGAACUGAGACACGGUCCAAACUCCUACGGGAGGCAGCAGUGGGGAAUAUUGCACAAUGGGCGAAAGCCUGAUGCAGCAACGCCGCGUGGGCGAUGAAGGUCUUCGGAUCGUAAAGUUCUGUUGCAGGGGAAGAUAAUGACGGUACCCUGUGAGGAAGCCCCGGCUAACUACGUGCCAGCAGCCGCGGUAAUACGUAGGGGGCUAGCGUUAUCCGGAUUUACUGGGCGUAAAGGGUGCGUAGGUGGUCCUUCAAGUCGGUGGUUAAAGGCUACGGCUCAACCGUAGUAAGCCGCCGAAACUGGAGGACUUGGAGUGCAGGAGAGGAAAGUGGAAUUCCCAGUGUAGCGGUGAUAUGCGUAGAUAUUGGGAGGAAUACCAGUGGCGAUGCGGCUUUCUUGACUGCAACUGACAUUGAUGCUCGAAAGGCGUGUGUAGCGACAGG